This 439-nucleotide ribosomal RNA is filed under the name uncultured bacterium. RNAcentral describes it as "partial 16S ribosomal RNA". It matches the Rfam family "Bacterial small subunit ribosomal RNA", at positions 339 to 795 of the family's 1533-position model. The record is from RNAcentral.
CUACGGGACGCAGCAGUGAGGAAUAUUGCACAAUGGGGGGAACCCUGAUGCAGCAACGCCGCGUGGAGGAUGACGCAUUUCGGUGUGUAAACUCCUUUUAUAUGUCAAGAAAAUGACGGUAGCAUAUGAAUAAGCACCGGCUAACUCCGUGCCAGCAGCCGCGGUAAUACGGAGGGUGCAAGCGUUACUCGGAAUCACUGGGCGUAAAGGACGCGUAGGCGGGUUGGAAAGUCAGGUGUGAAAUCCUACAGCUUAACUGUAGAACUGCACUUGAAACUUCUAAUCUAGAGUAUGGGAGGGGGAGAUGGAAUUAGUGGUGUAGGGGUAAAAUCCGUAGAUAUCACUAGGAAUACCUAAAGCGAAGGCGAUCUGCUGGAACAUAACUGACGCUAAGGCGUGAAAGCGUGGGGAGCAAACAGGAUUAGAUACCCGCGUAGUC